GGGUUCGAUUCCGGAGAGGGAGCCUGAGAAACGGCUACCACAUCCAAGGAAGGCAGCAGGCGCGCAAAUUACCCAAUCCCGACACGGGGAGGUAGUGACAAUAAAUAACAACACAGGGCUCUUUUGGGUCUUGUUAUUGGAAUGAGUACGAUUUAAAUCUCCUAACGAGGAACAAUUGGAGGGCAAGUCUGGUGCCAGCAGCCGCGGUAAUUCCAGCUCCAAUAGCGUAUAUUAAAGUUGUUGCAGUUAAAAAGCUCGUAGUUGAAUUUCAGGCCUGGCUGGACGGUCCGCCCUUCGGGUGAGUACUGUCUGUGGUCGGGUCCUACCUUCUGGCGAAGCGUCAUGGCCUUAACCGGCCGUGGCGGGGAACCAGGACUAUUACUGUGAAAAAAUUAGAGUGUUCAAAGCAGGCAAUCGCUUGGAUACAUUAGCAUGGAAUAAUGGAAUAGGACAAUGGUUCUAUUUGUUGGUUUCUAGGACCGUUGUAAUGAUUAAUAGGGAUAGUUGGGGGCAUUAGUAUUCAAUUGUCAGAGGUGAAAUUCUUGGAUUUAUUGAAGACUAACUACUGCGAAAGNAUUUGCCAAGGAUGUUUUCAUUAAUCAAG
Molecule: ribosomal RNA, 604 nt
Filed under: uncultured Glomeromycotina
Lineage: Eukaryota; Fungi; Glomeromycota
Description: SSU rRNA
Rfam family: Eukaryotic small subunit ribosomal RNA
Source: RNAcentral